RNAcentral lists this ribosomal RNA (253 nucleotides) under uncultured bacterium. RNAcentral describes it as "partial 16S ribosomal RNA". It matches the Rfam family "Bacterial small subunit ribosomal RNA", at positions 524 to 776 of the family's 1533-position model. The record is from RNAcentral.
UACAGGGGGUGCAAACGUUGCUCGGAAUCAUUGGGCGUAAAGCGCACGUAGGCGGUCUGUUAUGUCGGAUGUGAAAGCCCUUGGCUUAACUGAGGAAGUGCAUCCGAAACUGGCAGGCUAGAGUACUAAAGAGGGUCGCGGAAUUCCCGGUGUAGAGGUGAAAUUCGUAGAUAUCGGGAGGAACACCGGUGGCGAAGGCGGGGACCUGGGUAGAUACUGACGCUGAGGUGCGAAAGCGUGGGGAGCGAACAGG